RNAcentral lists this ribosomal RNA (465 nucleotides) under uncultured Klebsiella sp. RNAcentral describes it as "bacterial SSU rRNA". It matches the Rfam family "Bacterial small subunit ribosomal RNA", at positions 338 to 795 of the family's 1533-position model. Lineage: Bacteria; Pseudomonadati; Pseudomonadota; Gammaproteobacteria; Enterobacterales; Enterobacteriaceae. The record is from RNAcentral.
CCUACGGGAGGCUGCAGUGGGGAAUAUUGCACAAUGGGCGCAAGCCUGAUGCAGCCAUGCCGCGUGUGUGAAGAAGGCCUUCGGGUUGUAAAGCACUUUCAGCGGGGAGGAAGGCGGUGAGGUUAAUAACCUCAUCGAUUGACGUUACCCGCAGAAGAAGCACCGGCUAACUCCGUGCCAGCAGCCGCGGUAAUACGGAGGGUGCAAGCGUUAAUCGGAAUUACUGGGCGUAAAGCGCACGCAGGCGGUCUGUCAAGUCGGAUGUGAAAUCCCCGGGCUCAACCUGGGAACUGCAUUCGAAACUGGCAGGCUAGAGUCUUGUAGAGGGGAGUAGAAUUCCAGGUGUAGCGGUGAAAUGCGUAGAGAUCUGGAGGAGUACCGGUGGCGAAGGCGGCCCCCUGGACAAAGACUGACGCUCAGGUGCGAAAGCGUGGGGAGCAAACAGGAUUAGAUACCCGAGUAGUC